GGAGUUAGACGGUGCUUCUUCUGUGAGUGAUGUCCUUCCUGCCGGCUAUUAACCCGCAGGCCUUCUUCCUCACUGAAAGUGCUUUACAACCCGAAGGCCUUCUUCACACACGCGGCAUGGCUGGAUCAGGGUUGCCCCCAUUGUCCAAUAUUCCCCACUGCUGCCUCCCGUAGGAGUCUGGGCCGUGUCUCAGUCCCAGUGUGGCUGAUCAUCCUCUCAGACCAGCUACGGAUCGUCGCCUUGGUGAGCCGUUACCUCACCAACCAGCUAAUCCGACAUAGGCUCAUCCGAUAGCGCGAGGCCCGAAGGUCCCCCGCUUUCCCCCGUAGGGCGUAUGCGGUAUUAGCCUGGGUUUCCCCAGGUUAUCCCCCACUACCGGGCAGAUUCCUAUGCAUUACUCACCCGUCCGCCGCUCGCCACCAGGGAGCAAGCUCCCCGUGCUGCCGCUCGACUUGCAUGUGUUAGGCCUGCCGCCAGCGUUCAAUCUGAGCCAGAAUCGAACCCUGA
Molecule: ribosomal RNA, 507 nt
Filed under: uncultured bacterium
Lineage: Bacteria
Description: partial 16S ribosomal RNA
Source: RNAcentral